RNAcentral lists this ribosomal RNA (460 nucleotides) under uncultured bacterium. Its description in RNAcentral is "partial 16S ribosomal RNA". It matches the Rfam family "Bacterial small subunit ribosomal RNA", at positions 338 to 795 of the family's 1533-position model. The record is from RNAcentral.
CCUACGGGUGGCAGCAGUGAGGAAUAUUGGUCAAUGGGCGCGAGCCUGAACCAGCCAAGUAGCGUGAAGGAUGACUGCCCUAUGGGUUGUAAACUUCUUUUAUCAAGGAAUAAAGUGCGGCACGUGUGCUUUUUUGUAUGUACUUUAUGAAUAAGGAUCGGCUAACUCCGUGCCAGCCGCCGCGGUAAUACGGAGGAUCCGAGCGUUAUCCGGAUUUAUUGGGUUUAAAGGGAGCGUAGGUGGGUUGUUAAGUCAGUUGUGAAAGUUUGCGGCUCAACCGUAAAAUUGCAGUUGAUACUGGCAGCCUUGAGUACAGUAGAGGUAGGCGGAAUUCGUGGUGUAGCGGUGAAAUGCUUAGAUAUCACGAAGAACUCCGAUUGCGAAGGCAGCCUGCUAAACUGCCACUGACAUUGAUGCUCGAAAGUGUGGGUAUCAAACAGGAUUAGAUACCCGAGUAGUC